GCCCAUCCUUCAGCCAGGUGAUGAUUCCUGCAAGGGAAGGGGGGGAUGUGUAAAGAAGCAGCUCUCUCCUUCUCUUUCCAUGGUGGGUCAAGCAAGUUGUUCAUUUCAGAAGCCAUUCCAACCAGGCCUAUCUGCUCCAGGAUACAGGCUCUGAGGAAAGCCUGUUGUGUGCAGCCUGUUUUUGUCAUCCAUGGGACCUGACAGCAAAUCCAGCAUGAGAAUAUGGAGAAUUCACAUGUGGAGAAUGCAGCCACUAGGAGCUGAAACAUCAUCCCAGGCUCCCUUCACAUCAACCACUGGUCCUCCAGCCAAAUAUUUUAUCAUGAGCUUGGCCUAAAUGAAAGGCAGUCUGCUAAAAGGAGAAGAUUCCAGAUCCACAAUGACAAACACUGAGUGGCUGAUAUUUUGGCAACGUUAUUCAGCUAUUCAGUGAUGAUUGCUGUAGAGCCAUAACAUUUAAAACCUCACAGGUGAAUUUUGCCUAGGGGACAAACAUUUUCUUGUACACUUCAGAGAGAACUGAAACUCAGCAUGAAAU
Cyanistes caeruleus (blue tit) is the source of this 538-nucleotide non-coding RNA. Lineage: Eukaryota; Metazoa; Chordata; Aves; Passeriformes; Paridae. The record is from RefSeq and is a predicted model, not a curated record.